GAUAGAUAGAUAGAUAGAUAGAUAGAGGCAGCCCCACAUAGAGCGCAUUGCAGUAAUCCAGCCUAGAGGUUACCAGCAUAUGUAUCACCGUUUUGUGGUUGUUCAUCUCAAGAAAUGGACUCAGCUGGCAUAUCAGCCGAAGCUGAUAAAAAGGACCUUUGGCCACCACCUCAACCUGGGACACCAGGGAGAGGUUCAGAUUCAGAACCACCCCAAAACUGCAUACCUGUUCCUUCUGGGGGAGCAUGUCCCCAUCCAGAACCAGCAGAUCAAAAUUGUCUCCUGAGUUCUGACCCCACACAAUAGGUUCCUCCAUCUUAUCUGGAUUCAGCCUCAAUUUGUUAUCCCUCAUCCAGCCAAUUACUGCCUCUAGGCAAGCAUUUAGGGAGGUUAUGCCUUCUCCCAAUGAUGCUGACAUGAAGAAAUAGAUUUGGGUGUCAUCAGCAUACUGAUAACACAAUUCAACAAAUCUCCUGAUGAUCUCUCCCAGUGGUUUCAUGUAGAUGUUAAUCAGCAUCGGAGACAAUAUGGAGCCCUGAGGGACACCAUACGAAAGUUCAGAUUUUGAAGACCAACCCGCUCCAAGAGACACCAUCUGGAAUCUGUCCAAGAGAUGGCUGCCCACAGCCAAUUGUGGUGGUGAUGGCUGAUAAUAUCUCUGUCCCUGAGUGUUCUAUACUGUCUUCCAUUUUAACAUUCAUUCAAGCAGGCAAUUACUUGCACAUUUAGCCACCCACAAAUGAGCCGCAGCCAACCUUGCAACGAAGCUGAAAAGAGACAGCACACAAUAAACAAUGUCUUUAAAAGCAAGUUGUUCUAGUAAGAACUAAUCAGCCUACUUUCCUUUCCCUGUCUCUACAACUGGACUAUAUUUGGUUCAAAUUGAGGUCCACAAGUUAGAUCUCUUGCACCUCAAAUGUUAAUGCAUCCGCAAUCUUGGAUUGGGGUUUAUGACAUCAUUACAAACUACACCAUUGAGGUCUCCCUGUGUGUCACUCACUAUAACUGAACCAAAUUUAGCUCAAAUCAGUUAGACAGUCCACAAAUUAGUGCACUUGCACCUCAAAUGUUCAUGCGUCUGCCAUUUUGGAUUGAGGUGGAUGACAUCAUCACAAACUCCAUCAUUGGGGCAUUGCUAUGUGUCCAUACAGCUGUAGCAGAUUUGGUUCAAAUUGGUUAGACUGUUCACAAGUUAGCCCACUUGCGCCUCAAAUGUUCACACAUCUGCCAUCUUGGAUUGGAGUAGAUGACAUCAUCACAAUAUUUAUUUAUUAUUUAUUGAUUGAUCACAUUUUUAUACCACCCCAAAUACAAGUUCUCUAUGCCA
Hemicordylus capensis (graceful crag lizard) is the source of this 1327-nucleotide long non-coding RNA. RefSeq lists it as uncharacterized. Lineage: Eukaryota; Metazoa; Chordata; Lepidosauria; Squamata; Cordylidae. The transcript has 2 exons. The record is from RefSeq and is a predicted model, not a curated record.